UACAGAGGUCCCAAGCGUUGUUCGGAUUCACUGGGCGUAAAGGGUGCGUAGGCGGUCGGGUAAGUCUGAUGUGAAAUCUCACAGCUUAACUGUGAAACUGCAUUGGAUACUAUUCGGCUUGAGAGUUGGAGGGGGGACUGGAAUUCUUGGUGUAGCAGUGAAAUGCGUAGAUAUCAGGAGGAACACCUGCGGUGUAGACGGCUUUCUGGACCAUUGUUGACGCUGAGACACGAAAGCGUGGGUAGCAAACAGG
This 253-nucleotide ribosomal RNA is filed under the name uncultured bacterium. Its description in RNAcentral is "partial 16S ribosomal RNA". It matches the Rfam family "Bacterial small subunit ribosomal RNA", at positions 524 to 776 of the family's 1533-position model. The record is from RNAcentral.